RNAcentral lists this ribosomal RNA (212 nucleotides) under uncultured bacterium. RNAcentral describes it as "partial 16S ribosomal RNA". It matches the Rfam family "Bacterial small subunit ribosomal RNA", at positions 29 to 224 of the family's 1533-position model. The record is from RNAcentral.
AGUGAACGCUGGCGGCAGGCCUAAUACAUGCAAGUCGAGCGGCAGCGCGGGGGUAGCAAUACCUCUGGCGGCGAGCGGCGGACGGGUGAGGAAUACAUCGGAAUCUACCUUGUCGUGGGGGAUAACGUAGGGAACUUACGCUAAUACCGCAUACGACCCUGGGUCGAGAGGUACGGGUGAAAGCGGGGAUCGCAAGACCUCGGCGCGAUGAG